RNAcentral lists this long non-coding RNA (236 nucleotides) under Gallus gallus (chicken). Lineage: Eukaryota; Metazoa; Chordata; Aves; Galliformes; Phasianidae. The record is from RNAcentral.
CUCCAGCCAGCACAAUGUUGCACUCAGUUUCCUAACAUUCCAAGAUGAUUCAACAUUUUUGUCUCCUUCAUUGACACGGAUUUCAUAGCAAUAUGCCAGAAGGAUAUCAAUUAAACCAAGAUACACAAGAUGACGACUUGUUUUAUCCAAGAGAUAGGACUUAUUUGUGAACUUCCUCAGCUGUUCUCUCUCUUCAUCAGAGAAGAUCACAAGUGUAUGACUGCCAUGGUUCUGAC